This is a long non-coding RNA of Sinocyclocheilus grahami, 774 nucleotides long. RefSeq lists it as uncharacterized. The transcript is spliced from 4 exons. Lineage: Eukaryota; Metazoa; Chordata; Actinopteri; Cypriniformes; Cyprinidae. The record is from RefSeq and is a predicted model, not a curated record.
GCCCGCUAGACAGCUCAAUUAAGCAGCUCGUUAAAGGCCAAGCUAACGAAGCGGCCUGCACUGCAAGCCUCAACAAACAAUGUGACUGUGCAGGCUACAAAUUGGUUUCCUGAACACUCUCCCUGUCUUCCAUUGUUUGGAAAACAUAUAGCCCUGACCAUGUGUUGCUGUAUUUGGCUCAUCAGGAUGUUUUGAUAGCACCACAAGGCCAAGCAGCUUGACUGAAUAGGCGUAUGAAUGGCUGUUUUCUGCCUACAUGAACCUAUUGGAGGUGGAUCAACCAUAUGCCCAUGGACAUGCACACUCAAUGACAAAGGCGGAUACCAACAGGUCCUCUCUGACACAAAGCGCCGAGGGGCUGAGGGAGGCGGGUGAGACGAGGGGUGCAUCUUAACCUGAGACGUCCCUCACACAAGAGGAGUGCAAUGGAGUAACUACUGUAGUUGAGGGCAAAUGAAGUUCAGCUGAGGUGAAGGGGUGAGACAACGUCAAAGAAGGAACAACGGAGAGAGAUCGAGAGACGUUGUCUAAUGAAGGAAUGCACAGAGAGAUGGAAACUAAUGGAGACAAAGGAUGUACAGAGUGAGAAGGAGAGGGAGAGAGAUGGCGAUGGGGUGGCUGACUGCUGUUGAACUCAUCCUCAUCUUAAUUGAUGAGGUCAUCCUGGGGAUAUCCCAAAACUAGAGUGUCCCCGGGAGGUCAUCACCAGGUCAUCCAAAAGUCAAAGUGCAUCGGAGAGAGAUGACGUAGCAUAUAACUUUUCUUUGGGUUUCU